CUGGUUGCCCGCAAAGAGAAUCUAAGUUCUCCCUUAACCUCUCUCCCAGGAUAACAAACCCAAACCCCCGUGCAGCAGAUUAAGAGCUACCUAAAGGGGGUACAGCCCCUUUAAAGAAGGAUACACCCUCCACUAGCGGAUAACCUCUCUCCACUUUUUCUCAACCUCGUGGGCCCUAAAGCAGCCACCCCAAAAGAGUGCGUCAAAGCUCCCAACUAAAAAUCCAAAAAUAUUGUGACUCCCUACAUCCCUAGCUGGCUAACCUAUAACAAUAGAUGAAUCAAUGCUAGAACGAGUAACCAGGACACCCUCCCCUCAAGCGCUAGCCUACAUACCAUUAACAGUCCAACCAUCAAUGCUUAACCUCCCCAAGAUUAAACAUUGAACAUACCCUGUUAACCCAACCCAGGAGCGCACAUUAGGAUGAUUAAAAUCUACAAAAGGAACUCGGCAAACUCAAGGCCCGACUGUUUACCAAAAACAUAGCCUUCAGCCAAACAAGUAUUGAAGGUGAUGCCUGCCCAGUGACACCAUGUUUAACGGCCGCGGUAUCCUAACCGUGCAAAGGUAGCGCAAUCAAUUGUCCCAUAAAUCGAGACUUGUAUGAACGGCUAAACGAGGCCUUAACUGUCUCCUGUAGACAAUCAGUGAAACUGAUCUUCCUGUGCAAAAGCAGGAAUAAGCACACAAGACGAGAAGACCCUGUGGAACUUUAAAAUCAAUAGCCACUACACAUCAACCCAAAGCCCACCAGGCUCCACCAUCUACAACACUGGCUAACAUUUUUAGAUUGGGGCGAUCUUGGAGAAAAACAAACCCUCCAAAAAUAAGGCCAAACCCCUUAGCAAAGAACAACCCUUCCAUGCGCUAACAGCACCCAGACCCAAUAAAAUUGACCAAUGAACCAAGCUACCCCAGGGAUAACAGCGCAAUCUCCCCCAAGAGCCCCUAUCGACGAGGAGGUUUACGACCUCGAUGUUGGAUCAGGACAUCCUAGUGGUGUAACCGCUACUAAGGGUUCGUUUGUUCAACGAUUAACAGUCCUACGU
This 1049-nucleotide ribosomal RNA is filed under the name Probosciger aterrimus (palm cockatoo). RNAcentral's name for it is "partial 16S ribosomal RNA". It matches the Rfam family "Bacterial large subunit ribosomal RNA", at positions 849 to 2601 of the family's 2925-position model. Lineage: Eukaryota; Metazoa; Chordata; Aves; Psittaciformes; Cacatuidae. The record is from RNAcentral.